Molecule: long non-coding RNA, 1391 nt
Organism: Oncorhynchus masou masou (cherry salmon)
Lineage: Eukaryota; Metazoa; Chordata; Actinopteri; Salmoniformes; Salmonidae
Exons: 4
Source: RefSeq, a predicted model, not a curated record
CCAGACCCCAAGGUCCUUGACAACACCAGGAGGGUCUUUAAAGGUGAAUUUCAGCUACCUGAGUUUCUAAGAGAACAAUCUCAGCUUCAGAAGACUCCGGAGAAACCAAACCCCAGUUAGGAGGAGCAACCAACAUGCCACACAGACAAGACGGGGCACCGGUGGACAGACAAUACACUCACCACCACUUUUUGGGGACCUCAUUACUCUUCCAUGGACACACCCACAUACUCUAUAUAUACAAAAGUAUGUGGACAACCCUUCAAAUUAGUGGAUUAGUCUAUUUCAGCCACACCCGUUGCUGACAGGUGUAUAAAAUCGAGCACACUGCUGUGCAAUCUCCAUAGACAAACAUUGGCAGUAGAAUGGCCCCGAACUGAAGAGCUCAGUGACUUACAACGUGGCACUGUUAUAGGACGCCACCUUUCUGCCCUGCUCGAGCUGCCCCGGUCAACUGUAAGUGCUGUUAUUAUGAAGUGGAAACGUCUUGGAGGAAUCAACGUCAAAGCCACGAAAUGGUAGGCCCACACAAGGUCACAGAACUGGAGUGCUGAAGCGCGUAAAAAUCAUUGCAAACACUCACUCACGAGCCCCUGGAAGUAACUUAAGCACAAGAACUGUUCAUCAGGGGAGCUACAUGAAACGGGUUUCCGUGGCAGAGCAGCCGCACACAAGCCUAAGAUCACCAAGCGUCGGCUGUAGUGGUGUAAAGGUCGCCGCCAUUGGACUCUGGAUCAGUGGACCAACUCCAUAUUAAUGCCCGUGAUUUUGGAAUGAGAUGUUCUACGAGCAGGUGUCCGCAUACUUUUGGUCAUAGUGUAUAACAUCAUGACUGGAUAUAACCGUAUUCCACACUGACUUUGUGGAGAACUCUCUUGGCCUUUUGAUGUUCGUACUGUAAACAAAUGAUGCAUUUGUCACAAAAUGGUGACCAGAGAAUGUCUAUGUUACUAUCUUUCUUGUCGAGGGUUGCAUUUCCCCAAUUUCCUAGAUUUUCCAAAAAAAUCCCAGUUGGGAGAUUCCUUCAACCAGGAUUUCUGGAAAACCAUUGAAAUAUUUUGAAAGUUACCAGAAUUUUGAAAAACAAUUCUUGUGACACCAUGCUCAUCCAAAUGUUUGUUUUUUUCUUCUUUUAAAUGAUUUCUCCUGGCUAUAUAUAUAUAAAUAUAUAUAUAUAUAUAUAAAUCUGUGAUUCUGUUGUAAGAAAAUACAGUGGACUUAAACAUCAAAAAAAGUGAGUAAUGUAUUUAUGGAUGACAUUUUGCUUUUUGAAGAUGCAAUAUCUAUUUUAAUGUUUGUUUUUCAUGCCUUUCUAUAGUGCAAUUCCAUGGGUACGGAUGUACAAGAUCUGUUUUUAAGUAUUGACAGUGAUAAAGAUGGCAUUUUGUAAA